AUUGCAUAAGUGCUAGUGAGUAUAAACUCAUUUUGUACUCUUAAGAAUUACUUCAUGCUAUAGAAAUUUAUCCUUGAACCAAGGUCCUCCCUUGUUAUGGGGUGAGUGCACACUGAUAUAGGAUGUACAUACUU
This 134-nucleotide small nucleolar RNA is filed under the name Bombyx mori (domestic silkworm). RNAcentral describes it as "H/ACA box snoRNA". The record is from RNAcentral. Lineage: Eukaryota; Metazoa; Arthropoda; Insecta; Lepidoptera; Bombycidae.